This is a long non-coding RNA of Leucoraja erinaceus (little skate), 1705 nucleotides long. RefSeq lists it as uncharacterized. The transcript is spliced from 3 exons. NCBI's taxonomy places the organism in Eukaryota, Metazoa, Chordata, Chondrichthyes, Rajiformes, Rajidae. The record is from RefSeq and is a predicted model, not a curated record.
AGCUGCUGCGCCAUCGUGCCGCCCAGAGACUGCAAAGGGAACUAAAAAGCACCAUCAGAAGUUGAGGCGAGAGUCUACAGAGUGAGACCAACUAUUUCAGAUGGACAGAGACAGGAAAAGGUUUUCGAAGGACUUUGGAUGCCCUUCCUAAUUUGAGGAAGGACAUCCUUGCUAUUGAGGCAGUGCAGCGAAGGUUCACCAGGUUAAUCCCCGGGAUUGCGGGACUGUUAUAUGAGGAAAGAUUGGAAAGACUGGGCUUGUAGUCGCUGGAAUUUAGAAGGAUGAGAGCGGAACUUCCCAAUGUUGGGGAAGUCCAGAAUAAGGGGUCACAGUUUAAGGAUAAGGGGGAAAUCUUUUAGGACCGAGAUGAGGAAAACAUUUUUCACACAGAGAGUGGUGAAUCUCUGGAAUUCUCUGCCACAGAAGGUAGUUGAGGCCAGUUCAUUGGCUAUAUUUAAGAGGGAGUUAGAUGUGGCCCUUGUGGCUAAAGGGAUCAGGAGGUAUGGAGAGAAGGCAGGUACAGGAUACUGAGUUGGAUGAUCAACCAUGAUCAUAUAGAAUGGUGGUGCAGGCUCGAAGGGCCGAAUGGCCUACUCCUGCACCUAUUUUCUAUGUUUCUAUGUUUUCUAAAUGUGUAAAACUAUGAAAGGACUGGACAAGCUAGAUGCAGGAAAAAUGUUCCCAUGGUUGGGCGAGUCCAGAACCAGGGGCCACAGUCUAAGAAUAAAGGGGAGGCCAUUUAAAAUUGAGAUGAGAAAAAAUGUUUUCACCCAGAGAGUUGUGAAUUUGUGGAAUUCCCUGCCAUGGAAGGCAGUGGAGGCCAAUUCACUGGAUGAAUCUAAAAGAGAAUUAGAUAGAGCUCUUGGGGUUAGCGGAAUCAAGGGAUAUGGGGAGAAGGCAGACACGUGUUACUGAUUAUGGACGAUCAGCCAUGAUCACAAUGAAUGGCAGUGCUGGCUCGAAGGGCCAAACUUCCCCCUCCUGCACCUAUUUUCUAUGUUUCUAUGACACUGGAAAUGAGUCAUCUUAGCCCAGUACUGCAUGUCCAGGGCAGUCACGCCAAGGCAGAACAUGAGGUGCGGGGAGUUCCUCAGCCCGGGGGGGAACCUCCUGUCCGAAACAACGCAGCUGACACAUCUCAGCGUAACUUUGUAACGGAGGGUCAAAACGCCAGGCUGUGACAAAAGUAACAAUCUGAAGAGACUGUGACCAGUUAAAGUGGAGAGCCAGUAUGCAGUGCGGGGCUAUUGACGAGAACUCACCAGCAAUCAGCAGUCUCAGCGGCCAACAUUACCGAGGAGCCUCUGGAUCAGAACGACCCCGCUGCGGCCCAAACAUAUUCAGACGCCCUCAAAUCCGUCUGCUACCGGGAGGCGGCCUGGCGAUCGGACAGGUCAUCGCGGACAAUGCAAGCACUGCCGGAGAAGACGCACGCAGGCAGCUCCGACUCCAAGAUGGAGACCAGCAAACUGGAGAGCUACUACCAUUUCUGCGGCAAGGCUUUGAGGAUCACCCGGGACUUGAGCGAUAAUCUCGGCAUAUCCGCGAUAAUCUGGGAAUCUGGCCUCGUUCUGUGCCGGUACUUCCAGCAAGAAAAGAUCGAUUUUCUGGGGAAGAAGGUGAUUGAAUUAGGAUCGGGCACUGGGAUCGUGGGGAUCCUUGCAACCCUGCUAGGUGAGUAGGUGCCCCACGGCAUGCGGUGGCU